CCAUCAAAAACUCAAGAGUUAAUCAAAGAGAAUCUUAUCUGUUCUCACUGAUUGCAUUGCGACAUGAAGUUCAUCGGCUAUUUAGAUAAUCUCAUAGGUCUUGUGGUGGCUGAAAAUUCAUCUUGCCCUUCAACAAAAUUCAUAGUAAAUUUAUGAUGUAAAUCUUUACUAAGGCUUCGAUUCGAGCAGAGGGAAUCGAAGACAGUAAACAUGUCUUGGAUACCCAGCGUGAGGGGCGAGGAGCAGUCUGAGUUGUGCAACCUCUAAUGACCUUGCCCAUUAAUUGUGUCUCGUGGGACUGACAGUCUCAAUCAGGCCAGUGUAGUGCUAGGAAAGAGGCUAUCGGGGCUGGUGAGGUGCUCAGUUUGGUUGGUAAGUGGGUAUAACACGUGAUCAUCAAGGAGAUAAUGGUGUUCAGAAUUUUAGGAGCACAUCACUGUUAUGAGGAAUAACAAUGAUGAACAGAACAGAACUAGGGAAGUAAUAUAAUAUCAUGACACUGCAUCUCAUAAAAGAAGAGCCCAAGUGGACGGGACUUCAGGAGGAUGCGAAGGGAAGGGGUAUAAUUCUAUUACUAAGUCGCAUAUAACACAGACAAAACCACUUCUCUUUAUUUAUUUAUUUUUUUUAAGGAAGAAUAUUUGUAGAGAGAAUAAUUUUGCCAUCGAAACUACAGAUAACAGAGACUUUGCUCAUGUGGUGAGGGAUGACAGCUACAUCAGAGGAAGCAGGGGUGGAGUGCCCCCAGGAGGACGUGCCAAGAGCCGAGGACAAGCCUGAUGACGCCUCCAGGAGCAGAGUGACAGCUGUAGCACCGUGCCUCUCCAGUGGUCCAGAGGAGGGGGAGAAAAGUGGCGGCUCAAACACGGGAGAGAAAGAGAACGCAGCAGUUUCUGACGAUGCUGGUGGUGGUGGAGUGGACGCAGGGAAGGGUGUGGAGGAGGAGGAGGCACGGUGGUGGUGCUGCCGCAGCUUCAAUGAGCGGCUGCAGGUGUAUGCCUCACACUUCCUCUCCUCGUGGGGCGACCGGAUGUGGAUGUUUGCUGGAGGAAUCUUUUUGCUUGAGGUCACUCCAGGGUCGCUGCGUCUUGCUGCCAUCUACGGAGCAGCACUGGCACUCACAGUCAUUGUCCUGGGGGCUCCUGUUGGCCGCUGGGUGGAUCGCACAUCACGGCUCCGAGCAGCCCAGCUGAGUUUGAGUGUGCAGAACCUGAUGGUGUGUUUGUGUGCUGCACUGCUGGUCCUCAUCACCUCCUAUCCAAACCUCUUCAAAGAAUGGGACGGAUGGGCCCUGGUGGUGGCUGAGGCUGGGGUGAUCCUCACAGCUUGUGUGGCACAGAUUGGUACGCUGGGCUCCAAGCUGGCCAUUGAGAAGGAUUGGAUCCUUGUCAUUUGUGGCCGAGAUAAAACUCAGCUGGCAAGAAUGAACAGUGUGCUGAGAACAGUAGACCUGAGUACUGAGGUGCUGGCUCCAGUCAUCGUGGGUGCAGUGAUGACCUCCUUUGGCCUGAUGGUGGGUGGCAUAGUCAUUGCUUCCUGGAAUGUGGGCUCUCUCCUGGUGGAAUACGGCCUCCUCCACCACCUCUUCUACUCCAAUCCACACCUGCAGAAGUCCAAGGGAGAGGUAAACAAUGAGGGAGGAAGUGGAGAAGGAGAAGAAAACAUAGGGUCUGAAGGAGAUAAAAGUAGCCAAGAGUUACCUGACAUGGAGGCUGAGCGGCAGAGGCGAAGGGAGGGGCAGGGCAUGAGCCAGGCCCUGGAACGCCUUACAGUGGCCUGGAGUGCCUGGAGAGCCUACAUGCACCACCCUGUUAGGAAUGCUGGCCUGGGUCUGGCACUGCUCUUCAUGACUGUCCUCGCCUUUGAUAACUACUCAAGAGCCUUCGUGUAUGACUCUGGAGUGUCAGAGACUGUGCUGGGUCUUCUGACGGCCGUGGCUUCUCUCUUUGGGAUCUUUGGCUCCCUUGCCUUCCCUGUGCUGAGAAAGAAGGUUGGCUUGGUUAAAACAGGCCUGGUGGGCUUUUGCUGUGAGACUCUGUGCCUGACAUUAUGUGUGGCAUCUGUCUUUGCCCCUGGAAGUCCCUUUGAUGCCUCUGCAAUCUUAUAUGGCCCUAUUACUUCUGGCAAGGCUCCUACACUCCCCAACGCCCCAGCCAUCCCUGCUGCUUCACCAGCCACUCCACAGUACGGCUUCAAUGCCUCCUCAGUGCUCAGUGAUUCCCGCAGCUUGGUGGUGGACUUCAACUCAACCUUGGAGGAGCAGCUGCCUCCUGACCUGGACUCUGGUGUGCAGGAGGAGGAAGAGGAGCGGGAUUUCACUUUCGUCAUCCUCUUCAUGACUGGAAUUAUCACGUCUCGUUUUGGACUGUGGCUGGCCGACCUGACAGUAACUCAGAUCCUGCAGGAGGGGGUGGAGGAGGGGCAGCGUGGAGCCAUCAAUGGGGUGCAGUCCUCCCUCAACCAGAGCCUUGACCUGCUGCGUUCUGUCCUGCUCAUCAUCCUGCCACGGAGGGAAACGUUUGGCUUCCUCGUCUUGCUGUCAUUCCUCUUUGUGUCCAUGGCGUUCCUCAUGUUUGCCUCCUAUGUUCGGACCUUCCUGAUUAACAGCACCAAGCCUGCUGCAGUGCCAGAAGGACACCAGCUCAAGCCUGCUGAUGUGUGAAGGGAGGCAGGAUGUGAGUAGUGGAAGUGGCCCUCCCUGCAGCACCUCACCCCAGACUUGCCUGUGUGAGGCUCUGCCAAAUAAGAAAAUAUCCUGGUGAUGUAUCUACUGUGUACCAUGAGAGAGAGAGUGAGAGAGAGAGUACCUUUAUCAUAAGUGCCUAUGGAUGUAAUUUUUUUAUGAGAUAAGUUUUAUGGCAGAAUUAUGUGUUGCAAUAAUCAUUAUGUGAAAAGUUUAAGUAAUCACAAAUGAUAUGUUAGGAUAUGGAGUGAAGGCAUGGAGCAGGAGCCAUGAGUGUUGUGUAGUCCAAUUCUUGGCUUCUAAAUGGUUAAGAAUUGUAUCAAUGCCAUUCCAUAGUGAUAGCAUUCAUUGUGUAAUUACAGAGGGAAGAUAAAUCACACAUACAGUAUAUAUUAUUUCUAACCCAUAAUGUUCAUUGCAUGACAUGAUGCAGAGAGGGAUAUAAACCAGUACUAAGCUAUUACGUAAAACACAUAAUGCUGAAAUAAGACCUAAAAAUGCACUAAUAUAGCUUUACAGGGAAAAAACAAUUGCAUACAUAUACUGUUCCCAAGGCCGAGUGCUCACUGUGGGGCUUCAGACUUGCCUUCACUAACGUGUAUUAUGUACCACUUAAAUCCAAUCAAAGAAAUCUGUACACCACCUGCCCACACCCACACAGGCAUUGGUCUUGCCCCACAUGCAGGUCAGGUACAAGUAAACAGGUGUGAUUGAAAGACAUUGAAUAGCUCAGUGAGAAUAUAAUGUUGUGUCCUGUACCCCUUUUACUGCCAUCAUUGUCCUUUUGUUAAGGAAAAGCAACAUAAGAAAUGUUUGUAUGGCCACACAGAAAAAGGGAGAAUAUAGGUAAAUUUUCUGUUUUAAAGGCUACAGAAUUAGUUAAGAAUUUGUAGUACAUGUAGUUAGUUUUUUCUAAGUUGUUAGUAAUUAUGGAAAAGUCUAACAGUGAAAGGGUUAAGUCACAUAGUAAUUAUUUAAGUCAGUUUAGCAUAAAUUAGUUUAGUUUAUUGUUCCUAUUCCAUGUAUUCCAAAAAUAUUCUGUGCUUGUGAUAUUUAUUGGUUAUUGCACACUAGAAUAGCAUGAUAUGCAUCUGCAACUCCAUUUUUUUUUUUUUUUUUUUUUUUUUUUAUGUAGGAAGGACACUGGCCAAGGGCAACAAAAAUCCAAUAAAAAAAUAUACCCACUGAAAUGCCAGUCCCAUAAAAGGGUCAAAGCAGUGGUCAAAAAGUGUGUGUGUGUGUGUGUGUGUGUGUGUGUGUGUGUGUGUGUCUUCCUGUGGGCCCUGUAUACAGCAGGUUGAAUGACUGUUGGGUGCUGCUGUCAGCAACUCGUGUUGAGGUGGAAUGAGUGAGCUGCUUGUGUGCUGUCAGUGCAGUUUUUGUCGUCACUGCCUAAGAACUGUUGGGUAGAGAGCUUGGUGAGUGUGUGUGUGUGUGUUUGUGAGAGAUAUUGAGAGAGAAAGAGAGAGAGAGAGAGAGAGAGAGAGAGAGAGAGAGAGAGAGAGAGAGAGAGAGAGAGAGAGAGAGAGCAUGUUUGUUAUAGCUAUCAGUUAUAUUUCAUACUCAACAGUAAUUCACAGCAGGAGAAUUAUGUGCAAUACCUGACAUAUGUAAUAUUUUUUUUUGUCAUGUAUAAAAAACAUUAAUCUCAAUAUAUUCACUUCAUAAUUACAUGGAUUAUAAGCAAUACCAGGACUUAAUAAUUUCUGUAUUUAUGUUUUUAUACCACAACAAGGCUGUAAUAGUAGUGCUGUGUGUGCAGUAACUGAGCCAGGGUGUGUUUGAGGAUUCACAAAUGGUGCCUGCCCAUAACAGUGUAAUUUUAAAAGGUUAACUUUUUACUGCUGUAUUUUUACUUUUAUAAGGUGAAAAAUACACUGCUGUAAGUUGUAACGUCACUUUAAUCAGGUAAUGAUAAAUACUGUUAGAAUUGUUAAUGUAAGUCUAGGUAUCCAUUAUCUACCUACCAGGCUGAGGUCUUCGUUAAAGAAAGGAAGCCUGGACAAGGUCACAAGUUGUUUCCAUGCCUCAUUAAUAUCAAUAAGGUGCCAUGUCAGAGCUGUGAUUCCUGUGUGCUGUGCAAUAUUGUAUAAGUGCCAUAACCUCCUGAAGUGCAAGUUGCUCAAGCAGGAAUAUACUUGUUGCUUAUUCCUGCAAUCAAAUAUCUAUUCUUUAUCAGUAGUAUACAAAAAGACAUUUAGGAGUAAAAGAAAAUAAUAUUAUUUUUAGAACUUCCAUGUAUUCUCAUUCAUAUGAUGUAUUGAAAUGUUGCAUUAAUUCAGUGUUAGCAGUGGUGGUAGGGUAACAGUCUGUACCCAGCACACCCCAACUCUGUGCUGAGGGAGGAAACACUCUUAUAGUAUUUCAAAGCAUCACAAUCUUCAUUAUUUGUGUAAUUUAAAAAGAAAAUAUGAACUUAUUUACUGUUUCCCUUCAUCAGGAAGAAGGUAGUAAUAAAAUAAUCUCGAGAGAUAUAGUUCUAAGUAUAUUUUCAUACAUAAUGUUACUAAAAGGGAGAACUACUAUAAAUGCAAGUUGUGGCAGUAGGAGAGAGUAGCCAUUUGUAUUCAUUGAAAUCUUUUUACUGUAACACAUUACUGUAUUCACACUACAGCAGCUCAGAGAGAUAAAUGUAUAUUUUCAAUGUGUCUCUCAUAUAUAACUUGGUACAGUAUCUGCUGGCUGUAUUGCAGCUCUAAUGGUGCUUUGUGAAAAAAUGGUGCAUGUCUUUUUAUCAUUUUUGUAUUACUGUAAAACCAUCACAAAACUAUUUUAAUAAAGAGUAAGAAUUUUAUUUGCAAAAUA
This is an RNA transcript of Scylla paramamosain (green mud crab), 5488 nucleotides long. It is a transcript of the gene named solute carrier family 40 member 1-like, with no coding region annotated. The record is from RefSeq and is a predicted model, not a curated record. The transcript has 11 exons. NCBI's taxonomy places the organism in Eukaryota, Metazoa, Arthropoda, Malacostraca, Decapoda, Portunidae.